RNAcentral lists this long non-coding RNA (201 nucleotides) under Erythranthe guttata (spotted monkey flower). Its description in RNAcentral is "long non-coding RNA (EGUT_LNC002806)". The record is from RNAcentral. Lineage: Eukaryota; Viridiplantae; Streptophyta; Magnoliopsida; Lamiales; Phrymaceae.
UUAAUUGCAUGAGAUAUAAUUUUAUAAAUGAAAAUGCGUACCCGAAAUAAUUAUAAACGUGUCGUUUCAAACUUCUAGGACGAAUUUGAAAUUCUCACAUAAGGAAUGCAUCGACAUUUUUGGCAGCACAAAAACAAACUUAAUCAUAUCUUUAGCAUCCGAUGUCCGAUUUUGUUGAUUCAAUAUGAUCCGAAUAGCCAA